This 253-nucleotide ribosomal RNA is filed under the name uncultured bacterium. Its description in RNAcentral is "partial 16S ribosomal RNA". It matches the Rfam family "Bacterial small subunit ribosomal RNA", at positions 524 to 776 of the family's 1533-position model. The record is from RNAcentral.
UACAGAGGUCUCAAGCGUUGUUCGGAAUCACUGGGCGUAAAGGGUGCGUAGGUGGCGUGGCAAGUCAGAUGUGAAAGCCCGGGGCUCAACCCCGGAACUGCAUCCGAUACUGCCAUGCUGGAGUACUGAAGGGGUGACUAGAAUUCUCGGUGUAGCAGUGAAAUGCGUAGAUAUCGAGAGGAAUACCAAAGGCGAAGGCAGGUCACUGGGCAGUUACUGACACUGAGGCGCGAAGGCCAGGGGAGCAAACGGG